RNAcentral lists this ribosomal RNA (247 nucleotides) under uncultured bacterium. RNAcentral describes it as "partial 16S ribosomal RNA". It matches the Rfam family "Bacterial small subunit ribosomal RNA", at positions 523 to 769 of the family's 1533-position model. The record is from RNAcentral.
AUACGGAGGGUCCGAGCGUUAUCCGGAUUUAUUGGGUUUAAAGGGUGCGUAGGCGGUUUUAUAAGUCAGCGGUGAAAUUUUCCGGCUCAACCGGGAUACUGCCGUUGAUACUGUAAGGCUAGGAUAUGGUUGCUGUGGGUGGAAUGUGUGGUGUAGCGGUGAAAUGCGUAGAGAUCGGGAGGAACACCAGUGGCGAAGGCGGCCUACUGGGCUUUAACUGACGCUGAGGCACGAAAGUGUGGGUAGC